AUGGCAUCCUCAAUAGUAGUAGCCAAAGCCAGAGCCAUAGCCAGAGCCACAUCCAUAGCCACAGCCAUAGAGAGAGCGGGAGCCAUAGCCGUAGCCACAGCCAUAGCCACAGCCCAGCCUGCGGAAGCCAGAGCCGUAGCAGGAGCCAUAGCCACAGCCCAGGCCUCCAUAGCCAUAGCCACAGCCAUAGCCACAGCCCAGCCUGCGGAAGCCAGAGCCGUAGCAGGAGCCAUAGCCACAGCCCAGCCUGCGGAAGCCAGAACCGUAGCCACAGCCAUAGCCAUAGCCCAGGCCUCCAUAGCCAUAGCUUCCACAGCCGAGGCCGCCAUAGUAGUUUCCGUAGUAGCCACACAUGGUGUUGGUUGUUGAGGUUGUUCUCGGGUAGAGAAGGAGAGUAAAAGUGUCACUUGAGUGUGGACAUUUCUCCCUGCAGAGGGCCUUUUAUAUGCCCUCAGUGUGGGUGUGACCCACCACACCUUCAUGCCAUUGGCUAACUUUAUGACUGAUCCAAUUAGUUUGUUGCUCACAACCAUAGCAUGAAACAACAGGGAAAUUCAGCAGGCCUGUUGUGCUCACAUCCCAGCU
RNAcentral lists this long non-coding RNA (585 nucleotides) under Ovis aries (sheep). RNAcentral describes it as "lncRNA (ENSOARG00000025569.1)". Lineage: Eukaryota; Metazoa; Chordata; Mammalia; Artiodactyla; Bovidae. The record is from RNAcentral.